This 362-nucleotide unclassified non-coding RNA is filed under the name uncultured Lysobacteraceae bacterium. Its description in RNAcentral is "uncultured Xanthomonadaceae bacterium contains 16S-23S intergenic spacer region". The record is from RNAcentral. Lineage: Bacteria; Pseudomonadati; Pseudomonadota; Gammaproteobacteria; Lysobacterales; Lysobacteraceae.
UCCGGUUUAGACCGGCGGUCUCCCUAGAGAUUUCAACUAAGGACAAGGGUUGCGCUCGUUGCGGGACUUAACCCAACAUCUCACGACACGAGCUGACGACAGCCAUGCAGCACCUGUCUCACGGUUCCCGAAGGCACCCCCCGAUCUCUCAGGGGUUCCGUGGAUGUCAAGACCAGGUAAGGUUCUUCGCGUUGCAUCGAAUUAAACCACAUACUCCACCGCUUGUGCGGGCCCCCGUCAAUUCCUUUGAGUUUCAGUCUUGCGACCGUACUCCCCAGGCGGCGAACUUAACGCGUUAGCUUCGAUACUGAGAGCCUAGUUGCUCCCAACAUCCAGUUCGCAUCGUUUAGGGCGUGGACUAC